AUUGAACGCUGGCGGCAUGCUUUACACAUGCAAGUCGAACGGUAACAGGGUGCUUGCACCGCUGACGAGUGGCGAACGGGUGAGUAAUGCGUCGGAACGUGCCGAGUAGUGGGGGAUAACGCAGCGAAGGUUGUGCUAAUACCGCAUACGUACUGAGGUAGAAAGUGGGGGACCUUCGGGCCUCACGCUAUUCGAGCGGCCGACGUCUGAUUAGCUAGUAGGUGAGGUAAAGGCUCACCUAGGCGACGAUCAGUAGUGGGUCUGAGAGGAUGAUCCGCCACACUGGGACUGAGACACGGCCCAGACUCCUACGGGAGGCAGCAGUGGGGAAUUUUGGACAAUGGGCGAAAGCCUGAUCCAGCCAUGCCGCGUGUCUGAAGAAGGCCUUCGGGUUGUAAAGGACUUUUGUCAGGGAGGAAAUCCCUAGUGCUAAUAACACUGGGGGAUGACAGUACCUGAAGAAUAAGCACCGGCUAACUACGUGCCAGCAGCCGCAGUAA
RNAcentral lists this ribosomal RNA (500 nucleotides) under uncultured bacterium. RNAcentral's name for it is "partial 16S ribosomal RNA". It matches the Rfam family "Bacterial small subunit ribosomal RNA", at positions 30 to 523 of the family's 1533-position model. The record is from RNAcentral.